AUGCGUUUUUGCUUUUCUUUUGGCCAAAUCAAGGUAAAUAAAGAAGAUAUGCAAUGUUUACUGUUACUAUCCUGUUAUGAUCUGAUUCUAACAAUGUACUUUCCAAAGAAUCAUGUACUCAAAAGAACCCCAAAACCACAUAAGUCAGUUCCUGUAUUUGGUAUGUUUUUGGUUUUAUUAGUUGUUGUACAUUAUUGGAUAGUAUUCACACCAGUCUUUCUGCAUCCCAUAUGGCAACUUAUUCCCUAUAUAGUGCCAUCAUUUUAACCAGGGGCCAUAGGGCUCUGAUAAAGAGUUGUGCACUAUAUACUGUAUUAAUAGGGUGCCAUUUGGGACGCAGGUCUGUAAAGGGACAGUCUUAACCUCUUUUCAUUGCCCUAUGGAGGUUAAGGAAGGUUUGAUAUUGGAGUUACAAGCAAAUCAACAGAUAUACAGUUAUAUUCCUAUAUCAACUCUAGUUAUACACCUCUUAGCUCAAAGCAGGCUAACAAACACUUAGGUGAGGUUAAAAAUAUUUUAGUCAGUUCGUACAGUAGUAUUGAGGAUUUCAAUGAUUGUACAGUUAUUUCAGGAAUGAAAUGAAUGCCCUUUUACAAUGUACAUGUAGCCAUGUCUUUGUGCACUGUGGCAAGCCCAAAGUAAACAUUACUGUGUACAUUUCUUAUUCAACAUAGAUUAAAAACAAAACAGGUCAUCAACAUUGGUUAGUGGGAGCGAGACAAGACUAGAUGGUGAGGAGGAGAUGAACUGUAUGACAGGUGGAAUACAUUAUCAGGACUAGAUGGAGAGGAGAUGAGAACUGUAUGUUAAGAGUAUGACAGGUGGAAUACAUUAUCAGGACCAGAUGGAGAGGAGAUGAGAACUGUAUGUUAAGAGUAUGACAGGUGGAAUACAUUAUCAGGACUAGAUGGAGAGGAGGAGAUGAGAACUGUAUGACAGAUGGAAUACAUUAUCAGGACUAGAUGGUGAGGAGGAGAUGAGAACUGUAUGUUAAGAGUAUGACAGGUGGAAUACAUUAUCAGGACUAGAUGGAGAGGAGGAGAUGAGAACUGUAUGACAGAUGGAAUACAUUAUCAGGACUAGAUGGUGAGGAGGAGAUGAGAACUAUGUUAAGAGUAUGACAGGUGGAAUACAUUAUCAGGACUAGAUGGAGAGGAGGAGAUGAGAACUGUAUGACAGAUGGAAUACAUUAUCAGGACUAGAUGGAGAGGAGGAGAUGAGAACUGUAUGACAGAUGGAAUACAUUAUCAGGACUAGAUGGAGAGGAGGAGAUGAGAACUGUAUGACAGAUGGAAUACAUUAUCAGGACUAGAUGGUGAGGAGGAGAUGAGAACUAUGUUAAGAGUAUGACAGGUGGAAUACAUUAUCAGGAAUAUAGUUGACAUAGCAGUGGAAUGUGAUGUCUCGUAAUUGAUGUCCAGCCCUCUUUCCAUUGGGUAAAAUACAUCACAUGUAUAGUUUUUUUCCUUCUGUUAAUACUUUGUUACAUACCAUAACCUAGAACAUUCCAACUGUACUUGUUAUACUGUUUUUCUAAAUACCACAGGUUGAGUAAAUUGACAAUCAACAUCUCCAAUAGAUACAGGUGUACCACGACAUCAGAGUGAACAUAACACAGUGCUAAAGUUUCAGUGAAUGGCUGGUUCUUUCACAGUGGACCUCUCUGCUGUACCAGACAGUCAUUUCAUUUGAAUUGAGAGGCAGAUUACUUAUACCUUCCUUUAGAUUGGUACAACACACAAACAUAACUUUAAAAGAUAUAAAGACAUGUAACUUGAAUCAGUGAGUUUCACAUUCAUGCAAAUAAAAUAACGAUGUAUUGUAGUAAUGCAACACUGCAAUGGUUGAUUAAUUUGGUAGGCAUAGCAACUGUACCAUGUUGACGACUAGGUCGAAUACUGGAAACAGACAGCUGAAGUAUCAACCGUAGAUUCAGGCAUCAGAAGUAAUGCUAUUUUCCUUCAAAUAAGGUCCUCAAAAAAUGUUUUCAACGGGUCCUUUGAUUUAGGCUACAUCGUUCAAAUCCAGUGAGGGCAGGCCAGCAUAGGUAAACACUGAUGUAAAAUAACAAAAAACUAUAAGUACCCAAAUAAUGCUUUUAAGAUAAUCUUCACUUAUGUUUCCCUCUUAUCAAUACAUAUGGGAGAAAAUGCAAUAUCUGUACAUUAAAAGGUACAAUUAUUUUUCUGUCCGCUCAGGUUGUUUCACAUUCAAAUAAGACUAAUCAACAAAUAUCAACUGGGCAAAUCAGGAGUAGAGGGGUGGCUAUGAUAUCAGAUGAAGGACUGGAAUGUUCAAAUAUUCUGUCUAGAAUGUUCUCUGACUGGAAUGCUCUACAGCUACCAAUGUUCUAGAUUAUAUAAGGUUCUAUCUAGAACCAAGCAAGGGGCACCACCAAGCAAGCGGCACCAUGAAGACCAAGGAGCUCUCCAAACAGGUCAGGGACAAAGUUAUGGAGAAGUACAGAUCAGGGUUGGGUUAUAAAAAAUAUCUGAAACUUUGAACAUCCCACAGAGUACCAUUAAAUCCAUUAUUUAAAAAAUGGAAAGAAUAUGGCACCACAACAAACCUGCCCUAAGAGGGCCACCCACCAAAACUCAUGGACCAGGCAAGGAGGGCAUUAAUCAGAGAGGCAACAAAGAGACCAAAGAUAACCCUGAAGGAGCUGCAAAGCUCCACAGCGGAGAUUGGAGUAUCUGUCCAUAGGACCACUUAAAGCCGUACACUCCACAGAGCUGGGCUUUACGGAAGACUGUCCAGAAAAAAAUAAGCAAACACUUUGUGUUUGCCAAAAGGCAUGUGGGAGACUCCCCAAACAUAUGGAAGAAGGUACUCUGGUCAGAUUAGACUAAAAAUGUUGCUUUUUGGCCAUCAAGGAAAACGCUUUGUCUGGCGCAAACCUAACACCUCUCAUCACCCCGAGAACAUCAUCCCCACCACCAGUGA
This is a long non-coding RNA of Salmo trutta (river trout), 2946 nucleotides long. Lineage: Eukaryota; Metazoa; Chordata; Actinopteri; Salmoniformes; Salmonidae. The record is from Ensembl.